This 490-nucleotide ribosomal RNA is filed under the name uncultured bacterium. RNAcentral describes it as "partial 16S ribosomal RNA". It matches the Rfam family "Bacterial small subunit ribosomal RNA", at positions 30 to 507 of the family's 1533-position model. The record is from RNAcentral.
AUUGAACGCUGGCGGCAGGCCUAACACAUGCAAGUCGAACGGUAACAGGAAGAAGCUUGCUUCUUUGCUGACGAGUGGCGGACGGGUGAGUAAUGUCUGGGAAACUGCCUGAUGGAGGGGGAUAACUACUGGAAACGGUAGCUAAUACCGCAUAACGUCGCAAGACCAAAGGGGGGGACCUUCGGGCCUCUUGCCAUCGGAUGUGCCCAGAUGGGAUUAGCUAGUAGGUGGGGUAACGGCUCACCUAGGCGACGAUCCCUAGCUGGUCUGAGAGGAUGACCAGCCACACUGGAACUGAGACACGGUCCAGACUCCUACGGGAGGCAGCAGUGGGGAAUAUUGCACAAUGGGCGCAAGCCUGAUGCAGCCAUGCCGCGUGUAUGAAGAAGGCCUUCGGGUUGUAAAGUACUUUCAGCGGGGAGGAAGGGAGUAAAGUUAAUACCUUUACUCAUUGACGUUACCCGCAGAAGAAGCACCGGCUAACUCCGUG